RNAcentral lists this ribosomal RNA (497 nucleotides) under uncultured bacterium. RNAcentral's name for it is "partial 16S ribosomal RNA". It matches the Rfam family "Bacterial small subunit ribosomal RNA", at positions 28 to 507 of the family's 1533-position model. The record is from RNAcentral.
GAUGAACGCUGGCGGCGCGCCUAAUACAUGCAAGUCGAGCGAACAGACGAGGAGCUUGCUCCUCUGACGUUAGCGGCGGACGGGUGAGUAACACGUGGAUAACCUACCUAUAAGACUGGGAUAACUUCGGGAAACCGGAGCUAAUACCGGAUAAUAUAUUGAACCGCAUGGUUCAAUAGUGAAAGACGGUUUUGCUGUCACUUAUAGAUGGAUCCGCGCCGCAUUAGCUAGUUGGUAAGGUAACGGCUUACCAAGGCAACGAUGCGUAGCCGACCUGAGAGGGUGAUCGGCCACACUGGAACUGAGACACGGUCCAGACUCCUCCGGGAGGCAGCAGUAGGGAAUCUUCCGCAAUGGGCGAAAGCCUGACGGAGCAACGCCGCGUGAGUGAUGAAGGUCUUCGGAUCGUAAACCUCUGUUAUUAGGGAAGAACAAAUGUGUAAGUAACUAUGCACGUCUUGACGGUACCUAAUCAGAAAGCCACGGCUAACUACGUG